UUCAGAAGUCUGUAUUUUAUUUUAUUAUUAGUGUUUUAAAGACAUCUUGCAAAAGGGGGGCCUCGGUCAAAUGUUAAUGCCAUUUGGGGGGCCUUGCCCUGGAAAAGUUUGUGAACCCCUAUGUUAACUGUUAAAAGAAUGCUUGCUUAUCUCUUUAAUUUUCAUUCUGCCACCAUGUGGUUUAGUCAUCAUCAGUGAAAGCUUUUUGUAGUGAUUUGUUCAUUUAGGGGGCUAGUUAGUUAGAUUACUCACAAAAAUGCUACCUGCCUGAUAUUUUCAAGAGUUUUAUGAAUUUUUUCAGGUGUGUGUGAUUCAUGAUGGAGCUAAACUCUGCAGAACAGUGCAGUGUCCCUCAGGACUGGAAUUACCCAUUCCUGGUUUAGAAGCUACUUUUAGUUUCACUGGUCUUUUCCAGUAUAUUGUCUGACAGAUAUAAAUACACUGCAAGUACACAGCAGUCUCUGUGUUUGGUCGAGUACAGCAGAGGAAUCAUGAGCUGGCCUCUUCUUCUUCUGAUAUCCUCUGUGCCCUAUGUGCAUGGCAUCAGUCUGACCUCAUCUCCUGCUGAGGUUAAACCUCCCGGAGCCUCAGUGAAGUUGUCCUGUCAGAUUUCUGGCUAUGCCCUCACUAGCUACGGCACAGGCUGGAUCAGACAGCCUCCAGGAAAAGGCUUGGAGUGGAUCGGGAUCAUAUGGGGUGGUGGAAGCAUAGAUUCUGGAGCCUCCUUUAAAACUCGCUUCAGCAUCUCCAGAGACACGAGCAACAAUGUGCUUUACUUAGAUAUUAGCAGCCUGGUGCCAGAAGACACGGCUGUUUAUUAUUGUGCAAAGACACACAGCUGUACAUCUCAGUGAGAGGGGUGUACAGAAAUGUAUUUAAAAAAAAACAUUUUAACUUAAACGCUCCUUCACCAAACAUAUGCAAAGCAUCUAGAGG
Ictalurus punctatus (channel catfish) is the source of this 936-nucleotide non-coding RNA. NCBI's taxonomy places the organism in Eukaryota, Metazoa, Chordata, Actinopteri, Siluriformes, Ictaluridae. The record is from the annotation of a RefSeq genome assembly.